CUAGGAAGACAACCCACAAAACUUUAUGCAACCAGGGGCAUAGUUGGAAGUACAGGCCAAAAUGUGGAUGAGUAUUAAAGAGCAGAAAUAGAAGCUAAACUGGUUUUACUUAAGUAUCAAAGGACUUGAUUGAAAUCCUUUCUUUGAUCAUGUUUCUCCUUGUGGCGAAAGACCAAGGAAGUUGCAUCUUCCUAUUUGAAAGAGAUCUCCACUAAACCUUCUUUGUGAUGCAUAAAACUACGACCGAUAGAUUGGAUAAGUUGAGGGAUGGGAUAGAUAAUCAUACCUACGGACUUUUGUUUCGUCACAUGGAAGAUAUAAGUUGCAAGCCCGAGCGGAACGGCUUUCCUUAUAGCCAUAAUGACUGCACUAACAACUCGAAAAACUGUUGUCGGUUAUACGGGUACGCUUCUUGCCCAGCGAGCAUAGUUCUAGGAGUAUAAUAUUAGAGACUAUUGGGGUUGUGAAGCGAUGGUGCCCACA
This is a long non-coding RNA of Rhododendron vialii, 483 nucleotides long. RefSeq lists it as uncharacterized. The transcript is spliced from 2 exons. The record is from RefSeq and is a predicted model, not a curated record. NCBI's taxonomy places the organism in Eukaryota, Viridiplantae, Streptophyta, Magnoliopsida, Ericales, Ericaceae.